AUGCGAUAAGUAAUGUGAAUUGCAGAAUUCAGUGAAUCAUCGAAUCUUUGAACGCACCUUGCACUCCUUGGUAUUCCGAGGAGUAUGCCUGUUUGAGUGUCAUUAAUUUCUCAACUUUAUCAGCUUUAUUGCUGUUAAUUCUUGGACUUGGGGGUUCUGGCGUUUUAUGUCGGCUCCCCUUAAAUCUAUUAGCUGGUUUCUAAUGACUUGUCUAUUGGUGUGAUAAUUAUCUACGCCAUUGACUUGUUGUUUUUACCGCUUCUAAUUGUCUGUUCAUUCAGACUAUAUAAUGACAAUUUGACCUCAAAUCAGGUAGGACUACCCGCUGAACUUAAGCAUAUCAAUAAGCGGAGGAAAAGAAACUAACAAGGAUUCCCCUAGUAACUGCGAGUGAAGCGGGAAAAGCUCAAAUUUAAAAUCUGGUGGUCUUUGGCCAUCCGAGUUGUAAUCUAGAGAAGUGCUAUCCGUGCUGGACCGUGUACAAGUCUCCUGGAAUGGAGCGUCAUAGAGGGUGAGAAUCCCGUCUUUGACACGGACUACCAGUGCUUUGUGAUACGCUCUCAAAGAGUCGAGUUGUUUGGGAAUGCAGCUCAAAAUGGGUGGUAAAUUCCAUCUAAAGCUAAAUAUUGGCGAGAGACCGAUAGCGAACAAGUACCGUGAGGGAAAGAUGAAAAGAACUUUGGAAAGAGAGUUAAACAGUACGUGAAAUUGCUGAAAGGGAAACGCUUGAAGUCAGUCGCAUUGUCUAGGAAUCAACCUUGCUUUUGCUGGCCGUACUUCCUAGUUAAUGGGUCAGCAUCAAUUUUGAUUGUUGGAUAAAGUCUGGGAGAAUGUGGCAUCUUCGGAUGUGUUAUAACUUCUAGUUGCAUACAAUGGUUGGGAUUGAGGAACUCAGMACGCCGCAAGGUCGGGUACUUGUACCACGUUCGUGCUUAGGAUGCUGGCAUAAUGGCUUUAAUCGACCCGUCUUGAAACACGGACCAAGGAGUCUAACAUGCCUGCGAGUAUUUGGGUGGUAAACCCGAGUGCGUAAUGAAAGUGAAAGUUGAGAUCCCUGUCAUGGGGAGCAUCGACGCCCGGACUAGACCUUUUGUGAUGGAUCUGCGGUAGAGCAUGUAUGUUGGGACCCGAAAGAUGGUGAACUAUGCCUGAAUAGGGUGAAGCCAGAGGAAACUCUGGUGGAGGCUCGUAGCGAUUCUGACGUGCAAAUCGAUCGUCAAAUUUGGGUAUAGGGGCGAAAGACUAAUCGAACCAUCUAGUAGCUG
RNAcentral lists this ribosomal RNA (1265 nucleotides) under Pholiota flammans. RNAcentral's name for it is "eukaryotic LSU rRNA". The stretch from base 299 to 1265 matches the Rfam family "Eukaryotic large subunit ribosomal RNA", at positions 1 to 953 of the family's 3401-position model. The record is from RNAcentral. Lineage: Eukaryota; Fungi; Basidiomycota; Agaricomycetes; Agaricales; Strophariaceae.